GAUUAGCGGCGGACGGGUGGAGUAACACGUGGGUAACCGUACCCUACUAGACUGGGAUAACUUCGGGAAACCGGAGCUAAUACCGGAUAAUACUUCGAAACACAUGUUUUGAAGUUGAAAGACGGUUUCGGCUAUCACUAUAGGAUGGACCCGCGGCGCAUUAGCUAGUUGGUGGGGUAAUGGCUCACCAAGGCAACGAUGCGUAGCCGACCUGAGAGGGUGAUUGGCCACACUGGGACUGAGACACGGCCCAGACUCCUACGGGAGGCAGCAGUAGGGAAUCUUCCACAAUGGACGAAAGUCUGAUGGAGCAACGCCGCGUGAAGUGAAGAAGGAUUUCGGUUCGUAAAACUCUGUUGCAAGGGAAGAACAAGUAGCGUAGUAACUGGCGCUACCUUGACGGUACCUUGUUAGAAAGCCACGGCUAACUACGUGCCAGCAGCAGC
Molecule: ribosomal RNA, 446 nt
Filed under: uncultured bacterium
Lineage: Bacteria
Description: bacterial SSU rRNA
Rfam family: Bacterial small subunit ribosomal RNA
Source: RNAcentral